GUAAAGGUUAUCACUGCUUCAAAGUGGCUGUCACCCUACUAACCAGGGCUGCCCACCCAGACUCCCAGAGGGCAUACCUGGGGCUGGAAACUCACUCCCUGCCUUUCUGCAGAUGCCUGUGUGAAGGGAGGACUCAGAUGCACUCCCUGUGGUCUGGGCUCAACCAGCCAAAAGAGCAACAAAGACUCCAGAACCCACUCUACAUCCUCAAUCCCUUGGCCAUCUGUGGAGCCCCAGAGCCUGCGGCUGUGGCAAGGCCUGUUUCUGCGCUGGACCUGCUCACCUGAGCCUGCAGAAGCUGCAUGGGGGAAGAGUGUGGCAAAUAGUGACAGGAAGGGAGAAGACAGAAGCCUCUCAGCCAACUGCUUCAGCCGAGCCCCUAUUCUAAGCACUGGCUCCUUGGAUAGCAGCUGAGAUGUUCCUGAAACCUCUGCAGGCCCCUUAGGACCUUUACACCUUGGAUGAGGGUGCCUGCAACCCAGGUUAGCCAAAAGUACUGAGGGUCUUAAGUUUGAAGUGUCCAAAGUAUAGGGAGGUCUCAAUAAUAAAAGUCUCCAUGAUCAGCAUCAGCUUGCUGGGGUGUCAGUGAAAAGGAAAAAUGAUGAAACAGACACCACAAAAUAUCUGACCAGAAGCCAUUUAUUACCAAACCAAUUUAUUUCUUAGAGUUCAAAACCUUCUGUGAGAAUCUUCUCUGGCCUGGUUGGAGAUCCACCUUCUUUUUUUUUUUUUUUUGAGACGGAGUUUUGCUCUUGUUGCUCAGGAUGGAGUGCAAUGACGUGAUCUCAGCUCACUGCAACCUCUGCCUCCUGGGUUCAAGUGAUUCUCCUGCCUCAGCCUCCUGAGUAGCUGGGACUAUAGGCGUGUGCCACCAUGCCUGGCUAAUUUUUGUAUUUUUAGUAGAGACGGGGUUUCUCCAUGUUGGUCAGGCUGGUCUUAAACUCCUGACCUCAGGUGAUCCGCCCGCCUUAAAAAAAAAAGUGGUGGGAUUACAGGCAUGAGCCACCACGCCCGGCAGGAGAUCCAGCUUCUUAAGCCUCAAACUCAAAUUCGAAGUACUGUGGGUCGAAGUAAUGGAUACGGACGUAACCAUCUUCGCCACCGCUGCUGUAGCUGGAAAAAGAUAGCCAGGCACCAGUCAGGUGCUUACUCUGGGAGAGGCAGAGACCCAACCCAGGCUUAGGUCAGCUGCUUCACUGGGACCCUACCUCUUGCCAUCAGGAUGGAAGGCAACACUGUUGAUAGGUCCAAAGUGACCCUUGACUCUUCCAAACUCUUCUUCAAAGGCCAAAUGGAAGAACCUGGAGGAAAAGGGACACAAUUAAUUCACUUUCUAUCUUCUUCCAAAACACUUUGGAGGUGGCACUCCCCAAAUGCAAAUUGUUAUUAUUAUUUAUUUAUUUUGAGAUG
RNAcentral lists this long non-coding RNA (1410 nucleotides) under Pan troglodytes (chimpanzee). Its description in RNAcentral is "long non-coding RNA NONPTRT000950". Lineage: Eukaryota; Metazoa; Chordata; Mammalia; Primates; Hominidae. The record is from RNAcentral.